GAGGUGUGAAAUCCCUGGGCUCAACCUAGGAACUGCAUUUCAAACUGGAUAACUUGAGUAUGUCAGAGGGUAGUUGGAAUUUCCCCGUGUAGCAGUGAAAAUGCGUAGAUAUGGGAAGGAACAUCAGUGGCGAAGGCGAAUACCUGGGAUAAUACUGACGCUGAGGUGCGAAAGCGUGGGGAGCAAACGGGAUUAGAUACCCUGGUAG
RNAcentral lists this ribosomal RNA (208 nucleotides) under uncultured bacterium. Its description in RNAcentral is "partial 16S ribosomal RNA". It matches the Rfam family "Bacterial small subunit ribosomal RNA", at positions 589 to 793 of the family's 1533-position model. The record is from RNAcentral.